RNAcentral lists this ribosomal RNA (1158 nucleotides) under Triticum aestivum (bread wheat). RNAcentral describes it as "partial small subunit ribosomal RNA". Lineage: Eukaryota; Viridiplantae; Streptophyta; Magnoliopsida; Poales; Poaceae. The record is from RNAcentral.
AUGAUGGGGGUGAAAGUGGCCACUGGCAAGGCUCUGAUGAUACUGGUUGCAGUGUUUAUUAUCUGCGCCGGCGGCGGCGUGGUGGUCUCGCCGGCAGCCGCGGAGGAGGUGCCCCUGGUGCCGGCGGUGUACGUGUUCGGCGACUCUACCAUGGACGUGGGCAACAACUUGUACCUGGGGAACGUUACGCUGCCGUAUCCCCCGUUUCCCUACGGCAUCGAUUUCACGGGCCCCGGACCCAACGGAAGGUUCAGCAACGGAUACAACAUGGCCGACUCCAUAUCGAAGCUGUUGGGUUUCAAUAUGAGCCCGCCGGCUUUCCUGUCGUUGACGCCGGAGACGAGCGUUGAGAUCCUGAAAGGCCUGGGCGGGGUCAACUACGCUUCCGGUGGAUCCGGCAUUCUCGACACCACCAAUAAUGCCGACCUCCCGUUGAGCAAGCAGGUGGAGUUCUUUGCAGCCACCAAGGCAAACAUGACCGAGAAAAGCGGCGGCAAUAGCACCAACAUCGAUGCGCUGCUGUCCAAGUCGCUCUUCCUCAUUAGCGACGGCGGCAACGAUAUGUUGGCGUUCUGGGGGAAUAGUCCGUCGUCGGACAAGGUUCAGCCCUUCUACGACGACCUUCUGUCCAACUACACCAAGUAUGUCAAGAGGCUGUACCGGCUCGGGGCGCGGCGUUUCGGUGUCAUCAACGUGCCGGCCAUCGGCUGCGUGCCGGUGGUGCGGGCGAAAUCCCUGAUCGGUGAGAUCUGCGAACCCUUUGUCAAUAAACUCGCCGAUGGCUUCAACAUCGCCUUGGGCGACGCGAUGGCGAACCUUAACGCGUCGCUGCCCGGGAUGAGGUACUCUGUGGGGAGCUCCUACAACCUGGUGACCAACUUCACGGGGCCGCCGGUGGCCCCCGGCUUCGACGAUGUGAAGAGCGCGUGCUGCGGCGGCGGGAAGUUCAACGGGGAGACCUUUUGCAGCUUACCCAAUACCACCCACUGCGACCACCGCGACGACCAUCUGUUCUGGGACGGGGUGCACUGCACCCAGGCCGCCUCCAACAAGGGCGCCGAGGCCAUCUUUGCCGCGCCGGUAGAGCUAAAUUUCACCGCACCCAUCAAUUUCAAGCAGCUGCUUCUUGAUGAUCAACCCACAAACGUCAGCCGUUAA